UCCGUGGCUAAAUGCCAAAAGGCCGUGGCUAAUUUCUAAAAUAUUUAUAGGAAAUAUUUACAUUUUAGAAGACGCCUAUUGAAGGUCUUACACAUUCGUAUAACCUGAAAAAAGCAUUCAAACAUAUAUUCAUACACAUUUCAUUCAUACACAUUCCAUUCAUACACAUUCCAUUCAUACACAUUCCAUUCAUACAGAAAUAUCCAUAAAAAUUAUGCAAAACAAUGAACCAAUCAAUUCCAAAACAUUCCAUUCAAUUCUUCAAUUCUAUACCAUUCCAAAAGAUAAAAGAAAAGGAAUGAAUUCUAAACCAUUCUAAACCAUUCUAUACAAUUCCAAAACAUACCAUCAAUUCCAUACCAUUCCAAUUUUCAUACAAUUCAUGUCAUUUAAAACAAAACUGACGAAAAGAUAAAUAAAGAAGAACCUAUUUGUUAGUGUCGGUCAUGCUCUUAGUCGCGCUAUUCGUCCCACUUUUAGUCGGACUUUUAGUCGCUUUUUUGCCAACAUUUUCGACAUUUGAAUCUCUUGUAGUAGGCGUGAUUAUGUUGUCGUGUUCUUGGCUCGACUGACCCUAAUGUAAAAAAAAAUUGAAAUUACAAAGAAAAUAUGAAUAUUGAUUUAUAUAAAAAUGCUAAUUACCUCAAUCGUCUCUCGACGUAAGUCUUCCCUUAGUUCCUUUAGUAUAUCCGGCAUCUGUUUUCUAAUGGCCUCUAGAACUGCCCGAUCAAAGUCUUCUUUACUUUUUUGUUGUUGAAUUUCUAUAUAAUUCGUCGUUGUGUUCUGUGAAGUCGCCAU
This 798-nucleotide long non-coding RNA is filed under the name Zostera marina. RNAcentral describes it as "long non-coding RNA (ZMAR_LNC001694)". Lineage: Eukaryota; Viridiplantae; Streptophyta; Magnoliopsida; Alismatales; Zosteraceae. The record is from RNAcentral.